GACGAACGCUGGCGGCGUGCUUAACACAUGCAAGUCGAACGGGCUCUGUCUGGCUGUGUGCUGGGUGGGGUUAGUGGCGAACGGGUGAGUAAUACGUGAGUAACCUGCCCUCUUCUUUGGGUUAAGCCUUGGAAACGGGUUCUAAUACUGGAUAUUCCUGUCUGGUCGCAUGGCUGGGUGGGGAAAGUUUUUUUCGGUGGUGGAUGGGCUCGCGGCCUAUCAGCUUGUUGGUGGGGUGAUGGCCUACCAAGGCGUGGACGGGUAGCCGGCCUGAGAGGGUGAAAGGCGACAAUGGGACUGAGAUACGGACAAGACACAUACGGGAGGCAGCAGUGGGGGAUAUUGAACAAUGGGCGCAAGACUGAUGGAGCGACGCCGCGUGGGGGAUGACGGGUUUCGGGUUGUAAACCUCUUUCGGGGGGGGACAAGGCUAUGCUAGGUGGUGGGGUUGAGGGUACCCGGUGAAGAAGCGCCGGCUAACUACGUG
Molecule: ribosomal RNA, 487 nt
Filed under: uncultured bacterium
Lineage: Bacteria
Description: partial 16S ribosomal RNA
Rfam family: Bacterial small subunit ribosomal RNA
Source: RNAcentral